Molecule: non-coding RNA, 94 nt
Filed under: Treponema pedis
Lineage: Bacteria; Pseudomonadati; Spirochaetota; Spirochaetia; Treponematales; Treponemataceae
Also listed under: 1 other name
Description: THF-I sequence
Rfam family: THF (Tetrahydrofolate) riboswitch aptamer
About the family: THF riboswitch presents a pseudoknot that joins P1-P2 and the loop of P3 and two THF binding.
Source: RNAcentral
UACAGAGUAGGUAUACCGCGUUAAGUAUCCGCAGAUGGGACGUCGCUGCGGAGCGAAAUGAUUUUUCAUGCGGUGGUUUACCGCUUCCGCUGUA